Molecule: ribosomal RNA, 498 nt
Filed under: uncultured bacterium
Lineage: Bacteria
Description: partial 16S ribosomal RNA
Rfam family: Bacterial small subunit ribosomal RNA
Source: RNAcentral
GGACGAACGCUGGCGGCGUGCCUAAUCCAUGCAAGUUGAGCGAUGAAGAUUGGUGCUUGCACCAAUUUGAAGAGCAGCGAACGGGUGAGUAACGCGUGGGGAAUCUGCCUUUGAGCGGGGGACAACAUUUGGAAACGAAUGCUAAUACCGCAUAACAACUUUAAACAUAAGUUUUAAGUUUGAAAGAUGCAAUUGCAUCACUCAAAGAUGAUCCCGCGUUGUAUUAGCUAGUUGGUGAGGUAAAGGCUCACCAAGGCGAUGAUACAUAGCCGACCUGAGAGGGUGAUCGGCCACAUUGGGACUGAGACACGGCCCAAACUCCUACGGGAGGCAGCAGUAGGGAAUCUUCGGCAAUGGACGAAAGUCUGACCGAGCAACGCCGCGUGAGUGAAGAAGGUUUUCGGAUCGUAAAACUCUGUUGGUAGAGAAGAACGUUGGUGAGAGUGGAAAGCUCAUCAAGUGACGGUAACUACCCAGAAAGGGACGGCUAACUACGUG